UACGGAGGAUGCGAGCGUUAUCCGGAUUUAUUGGGUUUAAAGGGUGCGUAGGUUGUUUUUUAAGUCAGCGGUGAAAGUUUGUGGCUCAACCAUAAAAUUGCCGUUGAAACUGGCAGUCUUGAGUACAGUAGAGGUGGGCGGAAUUCGUGGUGUAGCGGUGAAAUGCUUAGAUAUCACGAAGAACUCCGAUUGCGAAGGCAGCUCACUGGACUGCAACUGACACUGAGGCUCGAAAGUGUGGGUAUCAAACAGG
RNAcentral lists this ribosomal RNA (253 nucleotides) under uncultured Bacteroides sp. Its description in RNAcentral is "partial 16S ribosomal RNA". It matches the Rfam family "Bacterial small subunit ribosomal RNA", at positions 524 to 776 of the family's 1533-position model. Lineage: Bacteria; Pseudomonadati; Bacteroidota; Bacteroidia; Bacteroidales; Bacteroidaceae. The record is from RNAcentral.